GAUGAAGAACGCAGCGAAAUGCGAUAAGUAAUGUGAAUUGCAGAAUUCAGUGAAUCAUCGAAUCUUUGAACGCACAUUGCGCCCCUUGGUAUUCCGGGGGGCAUGCCUGUUCAAGCGUCAUUUCAACCCUCAAGCUCAGCUUGGUAUUGAGUCCAUGUCAGUAAUGGCAGGCUCUAAAAUCAGUGGCGGCGCCGCUGGGUCCUGAACGUAGUAAUAUCUCUCGUUACAGGUUCUCGGUGUGCUUCUGCCAAAACCCAAAUUUUCUAUGGUUGACCUCGGAUCAGGUAGGGAUACCCGCUGAACUUAAGCAUAUCAAUAAGCGGAGGA
RNAcentral lists this unclassified non-coding RNA (327 nucleotides) under soil metagenome. RNAcentral describes it as "partial contains 5.8S ribosomal RNA, internal transcribed spacer 2, and large subunit ribosomal RNA". The stretch from base 1 to 120 matches the Rfam family "5.8S ribosomal RNA", at positions 35 to 154 of the family's 154-position model. The record is from RNAcentral.